Long non-coding RNA from Helianthus annuus (common sunflower), 2184 nucleotides. RefSeq lists it as uncharacterized. The record is from RefSeq and is a predicted model, not a curated record. The transcript is spliced from 5 exons. Lineage: Eukaryota; Viridiplantae; Streptophyta; Magnoliopsida; Asterales; Asteraceae.
GCAACAAACACAUGUGAAGAGGUCUAUUUGCAGAGAAGAGAGAGAGCGUGCGAGAAAGAGAGACGAGCGACGCCAGUGGUUCCGGCGCCACCUUCCACCGACGACUAUUCCGGCGACGCAACCUCACUUUUUGUUAAACUACAGUUGUAGAGGAGUGACGGCGGCGGUGCUAGGGAUUGACGCAGAGAGGACGGUGGUGAUGUUAUUGGGCCAUCAAGCGGCGGCGGUGUUGUUCUCACAACCAAAGUUGUUGUUUCGAUAACACAUAAAUUACUUUUCAAUUUGAUUACAUUCUCUCUUUUUCAAACCCUGUACAAAAUGUAUGAUGGUGGUGUCGACAACGGUUGUGUCGGCGAAGGGAAACAUCGGCGGUAGAUGGUGUAUUGGAAGACUAUUGGAGAUUAGGGCUCAUUUGAUCUGAAUGGAGGGAGGUAGCUUCUGUUUUACACUUUUCUGGCAUGCGUCAAGUACCCGACAACAAGCCAUGUGUGGCAUAGGGGUCGCUUCUCGCCUAGGCGAGAAGCGCAAAAAAAGCGAGGGACUGAGGAAAAAAAAAGCGCAAUCAAAUAAAAACAUUAAAAAACAAAGUUAUGAACCGAAAAAAGGCCAAAUCCUCAAAUUCCAAAAGUUUUCAAAUAUCAUAAACCUUAAAAUAAAACCCACAUUAUUACGAAUCACCAAAAUAUCCCAAAACCAAAACUGUUAAGACUUGAAAACAAUAAAGUUCAGAUUCCAAAAGUAGAUAAAAUUCAAGACCAUCGCCUGUAGCAUAGUUCCCAUGGAUCAAUAUGUAACUGAAUGAUGAAAGAAUAAAUAAUUCUUUAACAGAAUCACAUACCUGUAGUAUUUUUUUACCGCCAGAAAAAACAGAACUGUGAAUGCUGUGGCUGUGUAUACGAGUUAUCUAUUAUAUUAAGAUAAUAUAUCUCUUAAGUUUUUGAAAUUUAAAAUAUCUUUAAAAAAUAUAUACAUAUUUGAUGAGAUAUGAUUCUAAAAUAUUUAAAAUUAGCUGUAAAUAAAAUCUAGUUUGUUUUUAAAGAUAGGGUUUUUUUUAAAAAAAAAAAAAAAAAAGAACGUUGCUUUUUUAUCUAGGAGACAAAAGCGGUCCAAGGUCGCCUUGCUCGCCCAGAUCGCCUAGGCGCACUGGGCGAUCGCUUUUAACAACAGAGGUAUUGUCAAAGUGCUUUACUAUGGAAAUGAGUAUGGAUUAGGAAGCUUAUGACGUACUUAAAUCAAUUCCGACGGUGACGAAUAAAGCUACAACGCUCCUUGUUUGUCUAAGUCAAAAGAGCAGAGGUUUGGAAUGGUAUUUUUUAGUGUCCUUGACAAGAAGUAUGGGAAUGGAGGUAUUGGAAGACUACUGGAAAGGAUUGAGUGGUUCACCAUAGGUCUCGAUAGGUUGGGAAGAAGAAAAGUUUAGUGUAUGAUAGCGGUUGUGCCCCAAAAAGUGAGAGGACAAACUGGGAUAUGCAUGAAUACUGGCUCAUCGAUCAGGAGCUUCAAAAUACUGGAAUUAUGCAGUUUUGUCAUUUGUCGUUGUCUAUUUUCUUUUGGAAUACAAUUUGUUAUGAUCUCAUUUGCAAUCAUCUGGGUUCAAUGAAAGAGAUUAAAGGUGGGUUCAGUUGCUGUUGAAAUAAAUAUGCAGACGGCAGGUGAAUUAGAAAAAGAUGCCAAAAAGCCAUGGCGAAAAUUAUCCUUCCCUCACAGGACCUCUGCCAGACUUGACUUAAUGGGCUGCUGCUAUCCCUUGUAGAUUAAGCUUUGCAUUUUUCGGAUGUUAAAGCCUCCGUUGUGUACAUGUUCUAUUUGUUUUAACACGCCGCAACGCGACGGCAAGAAUACUAGUUUUUUAAAAAAGUUAACGAGUAUAAAGUAAUUACCGAAAAAUCAAAUGAGGUGCUAACUUAAAUAUUGAUUAAAAAAAUCGAAAAAUAUCAACUUUUUGUUGUCUUCGUCGAAUAUCCCACACCACCGCCUCAUGACCUGCGUACUUCACGCGUGUUCACACAUUUAAGGCUUUGUGUUCCACGCAGGGGCGGAUCUAUAGGGUGGUAAGGGGUUGCCCGGGAUACCCCUCAACUUUCUUCGCGAGGUGCAAUUUUUCUUUUAUUAUCCGUUUUAUUUAUCUGGGAUACCCCUAAGCAAAUGUGCAGGAUACCCCUGAGUAUAAAUGAAAAAAAAAAA